CUACGGGGGGCUCCAGUGAGGAAUAUUGCACAAUGGGGGGAACCCUGAUGCGGCAACGCCACGUGGAGGAUGACGCAUUUCGGUGUGUAAACUCCUUUUAUAUGUCAAGAAAAUGACGGUAGCAUAUGAUAAGCACCGGCUAACUCCGUGCCAGCAGCCGCGGUAAUACGGAGGGUGCAAGCGUUACUCGGAAUCACUGGGCGUAAAGGACGCGUAGGCGGGUUGGAAAGUCAGGUGUGAAAUCCUACAGCUUAACUGUAGAACUGCACUUGAAACUUCUAAUCUAGAGUAUGGGAGGGGGAGAUGGAAUUAGUGGUGUAGGGGUAAAAUCCGUAGAUAUCACUAGGAAUACCUAAAGCGAAGGCGAUCUCCUGGAACAUUACUGACGCUAAGGCGUGAAAGCGUGGGGAGCAAACAGGAUUAGAUACCCGAGUAGUC
Molecule: ribosomal RNA, 438 nt
Filed under: uncultured bacterium
Lineage: Bacteria
Description: partial 16S ribosomal RNA
Rfam family: Bacterial small subunit ribosomal RNA
Source: RNAcentral